ACUAAAGGCACGCGUGACUUGUUCACGCGUGCACGAACACUGGUGAAGGUAAUUAAAUUACCUUCACACAGUGUUCUUGUAACACUGAAUUACUUUUUGAAAUGAACAUGCAAAGGGGACGAAGUCAUACCUGCUUCUGGAGACCGAAGAUGCUUGCAGCGUUGCUGAUGAUUCUCGCCUACUGCUCCUCUGGUUUUCCUUCUGUGACCACUUGUCCGAAGACAAUUUCAAGGAUAAUUCUCCUCACUGUUUCCUGCCCUCUUGUUCUCUCUUUCUCUCUGUAUUUGGAUUUGUGCUCUGUUUUCUCUGCCUUUUUUUUUCUUAACUCUGUUUUUCUGGGUUGAUUUUUCGGCUCUCUGGUCUUUUCCCCAGUGUUCUUCCCCUCCUCCUUUUUCUCUGCUCUGCUCUGCCUUUUAUAGAGCUAGAGAGCAUGCAGAAACCCGUUCCCCUGUUAAUCAAUCCAUGAGCGGGAUCGUGGGCAAGAGAUCGUGGUGUAGUGGCCUUGAGUUGCUGGAUUUUUCCCUGUUGAAUCGGUCUUCUCCGUGCGAAACGAAAGGGAUGGUGAACGGUGGGAUCAAAACGGCGUCAUUUGGCAUGAAAAAAAUGACAGAUUAUGGAUUGGUCCCUUUCUGUUUGAAAUGUAUCAAUUGGGUCCUUUAAUCAAUAAAUUUUUAAUUUUACCCU
Molecule: long non-coding RNA, 684 nt
Organism: Populus nigra (black poplar)
Lineage: Eukaryota; Viridiplantae; Streptophyta; Magnoliopsida; Malpighiales; Salicaceae
Exons: 2
Source: RefSeq, a predicted model, not a curated record